RNAcentral lists this non-coding RNA (884 nucleotides) under Stegodyphus mimosarum. RNAcentral describes it as "eukaryotic large subunit ribosomal RNA". It matches the Rfam family "Eukaryotic large subunit ribosomal RNA", at positions 24 to 664 of the family's 3401-position model. Lineage: Eukaryota; Metazoa; Arthropoda; Arachnida; Araneae; Eresidae. The record is from Rfam by way of RNAcentral.
CCCGCUGAAUUUAAGCAUAUAAAUAAGCGGAGCUAAAAAAACCAACAGGGAUUCCCUUAGUAGCGGCGAGCGAACCGGGAUGAGGCCAGUGCCAAAUUCCACACUCUUUGGGUGUUGGAAAAUGUGGCGUAUAAGAGGUUGCAUUCCAGAGUUUGACUCUGCAGCAAGUCCCCAUGACCGAGGCUGUUACCCAGAGUGGGUGCGAGGCCUCUAGCUGCUAAGUCUGCUUCGGAUGCGAUCUCCUGGGAGUCAGGUUGCUUGAGAGUGCAACACUAAUCGGGUGGUUAACUCCACCUAAGGCUAAAUACUGCCGUGAGACCGAUAGCAAACAAGUACCGUGAGGGAAAGUUGCAAAGAACUUUGAAGAGAGAGUUCAAGAGUACAUGAAACUGCUCAGAUCAGAGGCCCUCGAAAUCCUGUGGCAGGAGGAUUCAGUUGGCUUUCUGUGGCAGCACUGCACUGACCGAUUGACCAAAACGGAUCCCAGAACUGGGCCAGAUCGGUUGUGCAGGUCGCGGUUCUCGACGCAUUUUCUCCCGCUCUGAGGAUGCCGUAGCUGGUUGAGAAGACUCGACAGACUAAAGGACUUAUGCUGGCAGGUAGCCGGUGGCAUGGCUUCGCCUGUGUCGUCGGUUGUUAGCCUAUUCGUCUGAACUCGUCGACUGACCGAGUUUUUUGUGGCCCGAAUGGACCCAAUUUUUGUCCGCCUCCUCUCUUUAGCAGGAGAGCCGUGAUUAGAACGUAGCAAGCUUUCGUAGAUGGUGUGGCCGCACUAUCUAACUGAGUGGGCCAGUGCAUUCGCGAUGUUGGUGAGCUACGUCGUGCCUGUGGGAGUGCUCACGGCGAGUAGAUUGGUCACCCACCCGACCUGUCUUGAAACACGG